Long non-coding RNA from Xenopus laevis (African clawed frog), 1301 nucleotides. RefSeq lists it as uncharacterized. The transcript has 2 exons. Lineage: Eukaryota; Metazoa; Chordata; Amphibia; Anura; Pipidae. The record is from RefSeq and is a predicted model, not a curated record.
UCUGUGCCAGAAUGGGGGACCUGAUGGCAAUCCCCAUGCACAGGCUACAUAAUUAGAUGGUGGGGAAUGUGGGGAGUGCAGUGAAAUCUAGGAAGUGCUCAAUGGAAACUGAAAGUAAUUGCCUGCCUCACCUCUCUGCCUAAUGCAUAGAGAAAGGGCAGGCAAUAUAUUAUUGACAGCUGAGAUUUUUAAACGAGUUUACAACAGUUAUGGAUGCUAUAAUAAAAAAAAUAAUUUGAAUUUCAUGUUUAAUUUGAAAAAGACUUAUAAUUAUACAGGUUUUUAUGUCUUGAUGAAAGGUCCACUUUAAUGGAGACCUGCCAAAAGUGAUUGCAGGCAUGGUUUUAACCAAGAAACCACACUUGAGAGUGCCAUACUACCAGCUUAUUCUGGUUGGAUAUACAGCAUAAGACUAGAUCAUUAAAGAAGAUAAUUCACUAUGUAGUAUCAAUGUAAAAUGUACUUGUUUAAUAGAAGCUUCUAAUGCCCACAUUAUUUUCUUGAAAUAGAAUCUAUGUACAGGUAUGUUGUAUUUUCGCAUUUAAAAGGUACUUUGACGAUAUGUUGACUUGCAAAAGGUAUAUUAUGUUUUGUUUCCUGACCGAGGAAGACAACUAUAUUUGAAUGCUUGAGAGGAAUUGUGUACAAAGGUUGUUGCUUGUAAUUUGCCAAUAGGGUUUAUUGUUUAAUUAGAGCAGACCAAUAUUUAAAUUUAUCAGGUAAAGAAAUAUAGGAUCUUUAACCCUUGUGAAUAUAUACAAAUAUAUACACAGAUGUCUAUGUACAGUAUUACCUGUUUACUGAACAGUUAUAAAAAAUUCAGAAUAAGCAAAUCCUGCAUAUAAAUAUGGUACAUUAAACAUUCUAGUUUAUAAUGUACAUAGUGAUGGCACAUUAAGGGGCAGAUUUAUCAAGGGUUGAACUGUAAAUUUGAAUUGGAAUUUUCGAGUGUCAAAAUUCAUACAUUCAAAUUUUAAUCCCCUAUUCGAAUGUGAAUUCUGCUAAUUCCAAUCCAGUUUUGUCAUUUUUUUGUCAAAAUUUGGAAAAUAUCUGAUACCAUAAGUAAACCAAAUAUAUCCAAUUUGAUCUUAGUAUGAAAAGAAGUUGUGUAUGUUGGGGGUCAUACUGUGCUGCCUUCAGCUAAGGAAGCAAUAAAUAAUAAACCCAGUGAAGGCAGACCAGUAGAAUGAAUACCCCACAGUUGAAGUAAGGAAUCCCCACCAUGAGUUGUUAACAAAACAAAAGAAUAGUCUUUGGAACACCAUACUGAUAAUGCAACUGCAUAGUUACACAAAUGAGCU